ACCACAAGGCUCAGGGACUGAAAAGCAGGGUAAGCGGCCGCAGCCAUGAUGGUUAGACCCGAGUCGCCAACGGUACGGUGUCGGGCGGCCGCGGGCUGGUCUGCGGCAUUUGGGACCGGGCAAAAAACGUGUUUUAUUGUCAUCAUAAAAAUAAGAGUUGGGUGGACUAGUGAUCACACUGCGUUGGUGACUGAAAAGGUUAUUUAUGUGACUGCUUUUUGCAAACCUACGUGAUCGCAAGUAACAAAAAGGGACCAACGGGAAGAAGUAGGUAAAUUUCAAGGCGAAAGCGGGGACACUUGGACCACUGCAGGCUUUUUUUGUUUGUUUUGGUGCUUCUGCUAGGCGAAGAUACGAUGGGGGUCUUCCCCUUCGCCAUUUUACCCAUUCGGAAGGAACUGAGAUAAGUGCUUUUCAACCAACCUUCGUCCUUUUUUUAAACAUAAAAUGGCCUCAGAGAAGGUUCCCAAAGCACAGCCGCCAAAAACAACCUAAGAAACCCCCAAAGUAACCAUUAAUCUUCCACUGCAUUAAAGUGGAUCACGAUGGGUCUCGGGGGUUCGCCCGAUUCCCCACACACAGUUUUUGUUCUGUAGCCACUCGGGGAGCCCUCGUCAAGCCAGCGCGGACGGGCCCCUCGGGGGGAAGCGGCGGCUCCCCUCCCGCCCUCCCUCCCGGCGGCCGGGUUCUGGGGCCGGGGCUGCGCGCCCGACCGGGCCCAACCGCCUCCGCGGCCCGGCCCGGCCCGCGGCGGCCCCAGGCCCCACCGGCGCCCCCGCCCUCCCCGCGCCGCGAGCCCUCGGCGCCCCCCCGCGCCCGCCGCCCGGCGCUCCGGCCCGAUCCGCCCGAGGCGGGAAGCGGCGGCGGCGGCGGCCGCGCGGGCGGCUGAAGAGUCGAGGCCGGGAGUCGCCGCCGUCCCCGCCCCCGCCCGGUCCGGCCGUUGCUGCAGCCUGAACGAAGCCCCCGCCGGCCACCGAACCACGUCCUUACCACGGUGUUUGUAUUUGCCGAGUUCGCCAUUUCCACACACAACACAAACAAGAGGGGGCAACCCCAAGAAAACAAGAUAAAAACAAAACCAAAAAAAAAAAAACUAUAACACCCGGAGGGUGACCCAAAUCACCGCAAGAUUGGGGAAAAAAUUUUAAACAAAAUCAAUCCUGAAGGAGUAGGGGAGAGCGGAGAGAGGAGGAGGAGGGGGGCACUCCUCCCGCAGCUGAAAACCUCGAGAAUCGCCUUAAAAAAAAAAAAAAAGCCACGACCCUUCAGGGGUCCGGGGGGCGUUGCCCGCUCCCCACCCCGCGCCAAGGAGGGAAACCACCACCGGUCACCGCUCCCUGCGCCGCCGCUGCCGCCACCGGCUGCAGCUCCAGCCGUCCGGUCCGCCCGCUUCUCUCCUUUAUAUAGCGAGCCAACAAGCUGCGCGAGCCACCACCGCCGCCGCCGCCGCCGCCGAGAGACAGGGUGAAGGGGGAGGGAGGGGCGGAAAGGGCGGGGGCAGAGGUGGGCGGGGCUGAGCGCGAGACACCGCGAGAGCCGCGUGCGCAGGCGCGCCGGGGCGGAGGCCGCCGGCGAGCCGCGUUGUCACGCGCCGUGGCGGGUACUGGACUGGCGGAGCCCGGGGAGUGAAGUAGUGAAAUCGGACCUACGCCUCUCCAACGCUCGCGUGAUCACGUGGUUGGCACCCAGGCGGAAGUCUGCGGCAGUUCUUUGCGGUGAAGAACUUGCAAAGCGUUGCUGGAAAAGACGGGAGUUCUACUGACACUCCAGUCCAAAGCUAGGUGGGACCGCCUCCUGUCGCACGUUUCCGCCUGGUCCCGCGCUUUAGGAGCUAGGAAAUGUGACAGAGGCGGUGCCUACUGCCUCGCUAGGAAUGGCCGCGGAGGAGGACUGGUCACGUGGCGUGGCUUCCGGCCUCUGGCGCGUUCCUAUUCGGGAAGGUUUUAAAUGCGGAGUCAUCUCUUGAUUUGUCAGCGAGGCUUUGACUGUGAGCUUCGCGGCGUUCGCGCCUCACCGCCUCACCGAGGGUGGGUCUUUCGCGCGCAGAAUUGUGUAGGAUUUUCCAAAGGGAGUAAAAGCCGAUCGGGGCCUACUUUUAACAUUCCACAAUUAGUAACGUCUGAUUCGUUUGUUUCCACAGUGGGUACGCUGCGAAGACUAGGCUUAUGUUACCCAGAGGUUAGUCCUCUACUAGGCCACGUACUUUAAAUAAUUUAUCACGCUAGUGGAAAUGCGGGGUGGAAGAAAACCCCACCAGCCUUUGGAUUGUAACAGCACAGUAACUUUCCCUGGUUUUUAAAAAUAUUGCCAAAAUACUGCGACUCCAUGUGGCCAACGUAUAGUGACUGAUCACUUUGAAAUGCAUGCCCUUGACCCACCAACUCGCAUGGCCUCUCGCUAUAAGAGAGCAAGCCGGCUGUGUUCCAUGUUCAAUUCAAUAAGUGCAAUUCAAUAAGCUUUUGACUUGUUCUGCCCAAGCAAAUCCUGCCUUUAUAUCGACCUUGCAAGCAGAACAGAGAAUGCUGUUUGGAAGGCAGAAUUCAUAGUACCUAGUUUUCUUGUCCCUGGGAAUUUUGAGGGACUUGAAAUGUCGCGUGGAUGAGUGAGGGAGUUUGUCUUCCAGAGACAAAGCAAAACGAAACGUCAAAGUUCUGUGCUGGUGAAACCAGAUUUGAAGAAUAUCAAAGGCGUCUUACCAAAGAGGAAAAAAAAUGCAUCUUGCCAAGACUUGAAGAAAGGGAUUAGAGAAACCAGAGGCCUUGAAUACUCAGAAAAUGGGAGAUUGUGAAUGGGUGUAGAGGAUAUCUAUGAACCUUGACAUUUCUUUUCACGCCAAGUCCAUUCCCCUGUUAACAGUUGCUUCCCAGUUUCCUGCACAGCUGCAUGGUCUGGGACACUUAAAGAAAAAAAUCACAGGAAAUCAGUGUUCUUGGUAUAUUAUAUAAAGUUAUGAUUCUAUCAACAUUUGUAAUUCAUUUAAUAUUCAGGUGACAGCCCGAAAAUUUACACUAAACAAUACCAUUCCUGUUAAGUUUUACUACAUAUUGAGAGGACUUCUUGUUACCUCCCUAUUACAUACUCCCAAACGCUUUGCACAUGGAAUCCCUCACCUUCCACCUAGUUUUCCCCCCUACUAUUGAUAUUCUUGACUAAAAGGUUGAGUAGUUUCGCCAUCAAUUAAAGUUAAAACCACUGCAGACAGGACAGGGAAGAAAAGCUACGAGGUUUGCUCUUCACAGAAUUAAUCUGUGAAAUAAUGGAUUGUAGUUACUGGAUUAAAAUGGCAGAAAACCUAGUCUUGGCCUCCUUAAGACCAUCAGACUCCCUGGAGGCUCUGAGUUGGCUUCUCUCUUUACACCUAGAUUGCAACAAGACCUAAGCACUUGGUUAAUAUUUACCCAGGAACUUAGAUUGCUUGUGUGUCUGGCAUCUAGCCAUCAUGGAUUCCAUUCCAAUAUAUUGGUUUUCCAGUCCCUCAAUAGCUGUUAUAUGCCUUCAUUGCAACAUAUGUGUGCCAUCCAGUUUAGUUUCGGAAAGAAAUAUUUUCUGUUAUACCAAAAUUGUAGGACUGAAUACUUGGAAGCUGCAGCCCUUUAAUUCACAAAACAAAAUUUGUGAGAGAAAACUUCUCCCAAGUAAGAUUACAUUUAGCAUCAUAUUUAAAUUGUUUCUAUCUGAACUUUUUAUUCUUGGUCUCCUACAGCUUGAAUGACGUUUCUAACUUUAACAGCUCUUUCUACUAUAUAAAACAUUUAUACAGGAUUUGCUGUUUGUGAUCUUACACUUUGUAGCAGCUAUGUACUUAGAUAGAUACAU
RNAcentral lists this long non-coding RNA (3816 nucleotides) under Homo sapiens (human). Its description in RNAcentral is "HSALNT0378229". Lineage: Eukaryota; Metazoa; Chordata; Mammalia; Primates; Hominidae. The record is from RNAcentral.